AAUCUGCCUGGUAGUGGGGGAUAACGCUCGGAAACGGACGCUAAUACCGCAUACGUCCUACGGGAAAAAGCAGGGGACCUUCGGGCCUUGCGCUAUCAGAUGACCCUAGGUCGGAUUAGCUAGUUGGUGAGGUAAUGGCUCACCAAUGCGACCAUCCUUACCUGGUCUGAGAGGAUGAUCACUCACACUGGAACUGAAACACGGUCCAGACUCCUACGGGAGGCAGCAGUGGGGAAUAUUGGACAAUGGGCGAAAGCCUGAUCCAGCCAUGCCGCGUGUGUGAAGAAGGUCUUCGGAUUGUAAAACACUUUAAUUUGGGAGGAAGGGCAUUAACCUAAUACCUUGGUGUCAUGA
This 354-nucleotide ribosomal RNA is filed under the name Pseudomonas sp. E23R. Its description in RNAcentral is "bacterial SSU rRNA". It matches the Rfam family "Bacterial small subunit ribosomal RNA", at positions 123 to 477 of the family's 1533-position model. The record is from RNAcentral. Lineage: Bacteria; Pseudomonadati; Pseudomonadota; Gammaproteobacteria; Pseudomonadales; Pseudomonadaceae.